CGAGAGAGAGAGAGAGAGCUGGGAGCUCUGACCCGGACGCCACCGCGACCAGAGAAGGAAACCCCACCAGGGGGACGCCGUCCGGACACCCCACGACGGCGCGCGGCCACCAGCGGCUUCGUCUCGGUGUCUUCUACGUCCCUGUGGUCCCAAAUUUUAUAUGCAGCAACUGGGAACGGAGAAUUGACGAUCCAAAGCUUGAAGAACCUCCGGCGAGUUUCAACUAAUUCCGGCGACUCCGGCC
Molecule: long non-coding RNA, 244 nt
Filed under: Rosa chinensis
Lineage: Eukaryota; Viridiplantae; Streptophyta; Magnoliopsida; Rosales; Rosaceae
Description: sRNA RchiOBHm_Chr4g0419731
Source: RNAcentral